Molecule: non-coding RNA, 439 nt
Organism: Bemisia tabaci
Lineage: Eukaryota; Metazoa; Arthropoda; Insecta; Hemiptera; Aleyrodidae
Source: RefSeq, a predicted model, not a curated record
CUUGUCCCGAUUUCGCCGCCAAUCCUAUAGCCAGUAGUAGAGGUGAUUGAAAAGAAGCUUCAUUUUUCGCUUUUAGCGCUCCGUCUUUAUGUCUUUGGUUCAAGCAAGCUCAUUCAACAUUUCAAACCAGCGCUCCGUCUUUAUGUCUUGGACCAGUAUUGAUCCAGAUUUGAAGAAGACCCACAGUCGUAGUCAUCAGCCAGACCCGUAAAUAUCAGGGCUGAGACCCGUACCAUCACGGCUCAGACCCGUAUCUCCAUCACGCCCCGGACGCGUUCACAAUCACGGCUCAGACCCGUAUCCCCUCCCCCCUCCCCACGGCCUAGACCCGUGCCACCUCAUAGCCCACUCUUAGAGCUUAGAACUGUGUAUAUAAAUAUAUGUGUGAAACUCACCACAAGUGAAAUAUUGAAUAAAAAUGUAAAUAUGUGUCAAUGAA